GGGUUGUGAGGUUAAGCGACUAAGCGUACACGGUGGAUGCCCCGCAGUCAGAGGCGAUGAAGGACGUGCUAAUCUGCGAUAAGCGUCGGUAAGGUGAUAUGAACCGUUAUAACCGGCGAUUUCCGAAUGGGGAAACCCAGUGUGUUUCGACACACUAUCAUUAACUGAAUCCAUAGGUUAAUGAGGCGAACCGGGGGAACUGAAACAUCUAAGUACCCCGAGGAAAAGAAAUCAACCGAGAUUCCCCCAGUAGCGGCGAGCGAACGGGAGCAGCCCAGAGCCUGAAUCAGUGUGUGUGUUAGUGGAAGCGUCUGGAAAGGGCGCGCGAUACAGGGUGACAGCCCCGUACACAAAAAUGCACAUGCUGUGAGCUCGAUGAGUAGGGCGGGACACGUGGUAUCCUGUCUGAAUAUGGGGGACCAUCCUCCAAGGCUAAAUACUCCUGACUGACCGAUAGUGAACCAGUACCGUGAGGGAAAGGCGAAAAGAACCCCGGCGAGGGGAGUGAAAAAGAACCUGAAACCGUGUACGUACAAGCAGUGGGAGCCUCUUAAUGGGGUGACUGCGUACCUUUGUAUAAUGGGUCAGCGACUUAUAUUCUGUAGCAAGGUUAACCGAAUAGGGGAGCCGAAGGGAAACCGAGUCUUAACUGGGCGUUAAGUUGCAGGGUAUAGACCCGAAACCCGGUGAUCUAGCCAUGGGCAGGUUGAAGGUUGGGUAACACUAACUGGAGGACCGAACCGACUAAUGUUGAAAAAUUAGCGGAUGACUUGUGGCUGGGGGUGAAAGGCCAAUCAAACCGGGAGAUAGCUGGUUCUCCCCGAAAGCUAUUUAGGUAGCGCCUCGUGAAUUCAUCUCCGGGGGUAGAGCACUGUUUCGGCAAGGGGGUCAUCCCGACUUACCAACCCGAUGCAAACUGCGAAUACCGGAGAAUGUUAUCACGGGAGACACACGGCGGGUGCUAACGUCCGUCGUGAAGAGGGAAACAACCCAGACCGCCAGCUAAGGUCCCAAAGUCAUGGUUAAGUGGGAAACGAUGUGGGAAGGCCCAGACAGCCGAGGAUGUUGGCUUAGAAGCAGCCAUCAUUUAAAGAAAGCGUAAUAGCUCACUGGUCGAGUCGGCCUGCGCGGAAGAUGUAACGGGGCUAAACCAUGCACCGAAGCUGCGGCAGCGACACUAUGUGUUGUUGGGUAGGGGAGCGUUCUGUAAGCCUGUGAAGGUGUACUGUGAGGUAUGCUGGAGGUAUCAGAAGUGCGAAUGCUGACAUAAGUAACGAUAAAGCGGGUGAAAAGCCCGCUCGCCGGAAGACCAAGGGUUCCUGUCCAACGUUAAUCGGGGCAGGGUGAGUCGACCCCUAAGGCGAGGCCGAAAGGCGUAGUCGAUGGGAAACAGGUUAAUAUUCCUGUACUUGGUGUUACUGCGAAGGGGGACGGAGAAGGCUAUGUUGGCCGGGCGACGGUUGUCCCGGUUUAAGCGUGUAGGCUGGUUUUCCGGGCAAAUCCGGAAAAUCAAGGCUGAGGCGUGAUGACGAGGCACUACGGUGCUGAAGCAACAAAUGCCCUGCUUCCGUGAAAGCCUCUAAGCAUCAGGUAACAUCAAAUCGUACCCCAAACCGACACAGGUGGUCAGGUAGAGAAUACCAAGGCGCUUGAGAGAACUCGGGUGAAGGAACUAGGCAAAAUGGUGCCGUAACUUCGGGAGAAGGCACGCUGAUAUGUAGGUGAAGUCCCUCGCGGAUGGAGCUGAAAUCAGUCGAAGAUACCAGCUGGCUGCAACUGUUUAUUAAAAACACAGCACUGUGCAAACACGAAAGUGGACGUAUACGGUGUGACGCCUGCCCGGUGCCGGAAGGUUAAUUGAUGGGGUUAGCGGUAACGCGAAGCUCUUGAUCGAAGCCCCGGUAAACGGCGGCCGUAACUAUAACGGUCCUAAGGUAGCGAAAUUCCUUGUCGGGUAAGUUCCGACCUGCACGAAUGGCGUAAUGAUGGCGGGCUGUCUCCACCCGAGACUCAGUGAAAUUGAACUCGCUGUGAAGAUGCAGUGUACCCGCGGCAAGACGGAAAGACCCCGUGAACCUUUACUAUAGCUUGACACUGAACAUUGAGCCUUGAUGUGUAGGAUAGGUGGGGAGGCUUUGAAGUGUGGACGCCAGUCUGCAUGGAGCCGGCCUUGAAAUACCACCCUUUAAUGUUUGAUGUUCUAACGUUGGCCCCUGAUCGGGGUUGCGGACAGUGUCUGGUGGGUAGUUUGACUGGGGCGGUCUCCUCCUAAAGAGUAACGGAGGAGCACGAAGGUUGGCUAAUCUGGUCGGACAUCAGGAGGUUAGUGCAAUGGCAUAAGCCAGCUUGACUGCGAGCGUGACGGCGCGAGCAGGUGCGAAAGCAGGUCAUAGUGAUCCGGUGGUUCUGAAUGGAAGGGCCAUCGCUCAACGGAUAAAAAGGUACUCCGGGGAUAACAGGCUGAUACCGCCCAAGAGUUCAUAUCGACGGCGGUGUUUGGCACCUCGAUGUCGGCUCAUCACAUCCUCGGGCUGAAGUAGGUCCCAAGGGUAUGGCUGUUCGCCAUUUAAAGUGGUACGCGAGCUGGGUUUAGAACGUCGUGAGACAGUUCGGUCCCUAUCUGCCGUGGGCGCUGGAGAACUGAGGGGGCUGCUCCUAGUACGAGAGGACCGGAGUGGACGCAUCACUGGUGUUCGGGUUGUCAUGCCAAUGGCACUGCCCGGUAGCUAAAUGCGGAAGAGAUAAGUGCUGAAAGCAUCUAAGCACGAAACUUGCCCCGAGAUGAGUUCUCCCUGACUCCUUGAGAGUCCUGAAGGAACGUUGAAGACGACGACGUUGAUAGGCCGGGUGUGUAAGCGCAGCGAUGCGUUGAGCUAACCGGUACUAAUGAACCGUGAGGCUUAACCUUACAACGCCGAAG
RNAcentral lists this ribosomal RNA (2920 nucleotides) under Escherichia coli. Its description in RNAcentral is "23S ribosomal RNA". It matches the Rfam family "Bacterial large subunit ribosomal RNA". Lineage: Bacteria; Pseudomonadati; Pseudomonadota; Gammaproteobacteria; Enterobacterales; Enterobacteriaceae. The record is from RNAcentral.